This 253-nucleotide ribosomal RNA is filed under the name uncultured bacterium. RNAcentral's name for it is "partial 16S ribosomal RNA". It matches the Rfam family "Bacterial small subunit ribosomal RNA", at positions 524 to 776 of the family's 1533-position model. The record is from RNAcentral.
UACAGAGGGUGCGAGCGUUAAUCGGAAAUACUGGGCGUAAAGCGCACGUAGGCGGCGCAGCAAGUCAGGGGUGAAAUCCCGGGGCUCAACCCCGGAACUGCCCUUGAAACUGCAGUGCUAGAAUCUUGGAGAGGCGAGUGGAAUUCCGAGUGUAGAGGUGAAAUUCGUAGAUAUUCGGAAGAACACCAGUGGCGAAGGCGACUCGCUGGACAAGUAUUGACGCUGAGGUGCGAAAGCGUGGGGAGCAAACAGG